ACACCGCUAAGCAAGGGACACCACCAAGCAAGCGACACUACCAAGCAAGCGACACUAUGAAGACCAAGGAGCUCUCCAAACAGGUCACAAAGAUUAUGACAAGGACCCUACAGAGCACUAUGAAGAAGGAGAGGAAUAUGGAACCAUGAAGCUCUUCCUACUGGUUGUAAUCCUGGCUGUUGUAACUGCUGUUCUAUUGAUAAUCAUCCUCAUCCUGGUCCUCAAGGUCAGACGAGAUUCAAACAGACUAAACACAGGGGUAGGCAACCCUGGUCCUGGAGUGCUGCAGAAACAUCAUGUUUUUAGUUUAACCGACCUGGAAGACCAGGACCUGACUCACAACGACAACCAACGAAAUGAGCAGAACCAAGAUACUGAUGCACUGAAUUAUGCUGCCCUUAAUUUCACCUCCAAGAAAAAGAAGAGGGAGAGAAGGAGCUGGACCCCCAUGUAGUGUAUGCUGCUACAAGAUGACAAAGUGGAGGGUGGAGAGGAGGACAAGUGGUUUGCCAUGUCUUUGAAUACAUGUUUAAAUCUUCCUAUAUUGUAUUUGUAGUUAAAUCAAAUGUAUUGAAAUGUUAAUAAACUAAGGGCCACUGUAACCCUGUUCCUCUCUUAGGCCACACAGCUCAGUGGUGCAGGGGUGGUUAGAGGGGGAGUUGGACUCAAACCACAACUGAUUAAUGGCCACAGAGUAGUAGUUGCCUCUUGGUCUCUCUUAGCUUUGUUCUCUUGUGUUGUGUUAGUGAAUUGGUUAUUAUUUAAUAAGCUGGCCAUAAAGGACAAAGUACCUAGCAUAGGACAAUUGUAUUACAUUGAUUACUUAAUAAAAAGUUUUAUCAAAAC
This is a long non-coding RNA of Oncorhynchus tshawytscha (Chinook salmon), 846 nucleotides long. The record is from Ensembl. Lineage: Eukaryota; Metazoa; Chordata; Actinopteri; Salmoniformes; Salmonidae.